AAUAAGCGUAGCUGUGGGUUUCAGUGCCCAACUUCCAACUUUGACCAUCGUCUUAUUUUAAAUAUUUUUUUAUUAGUAUUUUGUUUGUUAUUAGAUGAUGAAAUAUGAACAGUACUUUAUGUGUGACUUAACUUUUAAAGUAUUUUCAUAAAUUUUAUAAAUAAAACGGACGGUCAAAAGUUAGACAUGGAAACUUAUGGUUGCAAUUAUA
Molecule: microRNA precursor, 211 nt
Organism: Oryza sativa Japonica Group (Japanese rice)
Lineage: Eukaryota; Viridiplantae; Streptophyta; Magnoliopsida; Poales; Poaceae
Rfam family: MIR812 microRNA precursor family
Source: Rfam